UUUGAGAGAGCUGCUCCAUGUUGGACAUAAGCUGCUCCAUCAGGUAGGAGGAGUUGGCAACUUCAAACUUUAGUUCUUGCUGGCCUAGCUCAAGUUUCACUGAGAAGGACUGCUUCAGGUCGUCAAUCUUGUUAGAGAGGGCUUGGAUUUGUUCUUCAUUUGCCUUCUGAACUUGUAGAGCUUCAGCCUUUUGAUCUUGGAUGGCCUUCUG
RNAcentral lists this long non-coding RNA (211 nucleotides) under Panax ginseng (ginseng). RNAcentral describes it as "long non-coding RNA (PGIN_LNC010575)". Lineage: Eukaryota; Viridiplantae; Streptophyta; Magnoliopsida; Apiales; Araliaceae. The record is from RNAcentral.